GGAGUUAUGAAAUGUAAAUCGGUUAAUACCCGGUUUAUUUGACAAAGGCCCCAAAGGAAGCCACGGCUAACUCUGUGCCAGCAGCCGCGGUAAUACAGAGGUGGCAAGCGUUGUUCGGUAUUAUUGGGCGUAAAGAGCACGUAGGUGGUUUUGUAAGUCAGAUGUGAAAGCCUUCUGUUCAAAGGAAGAACGGCAUCUGAAACUACAGAUCUUGAGUGUAGGAGGGGAGAGUGGAACUUCUG
RNAcentral lists this ribosomal RNA (242 nucleotides) under uncultured Planctomycetales bacterium. Its description in RNAcentral is "partial 16S ribosomal RNA". It matches the Rfam family "Bacterial small subunit ribosomal RNA", at positions 439 to 672 of the family's 1533-position model. Lineage: Bacteria; Pseudomonadati; Planctomycetota; Planctomycetia; Planctomycetales. The record is from RNAcentral.